CAGCCGCCGCGGUAAAACCAGCACCUCAAGUGGUCAGGAUGAUUAUUGGGCCUAAAGCAUCCGUAGCCGGCUCUGUAAGUUUUCGGUUAAAUCUGUACGCUUAACGUACAGGCUGCCGGGAAUACUGCAGAGCUAGGGAGUGGGAGAGGUAGACGGUACUCGGCAGGAAGGGGUAAAAUCCUUUGAUCUAUUGAUGACCACCUGUGGCGAAGGCGGUCUACCAGAACACGUCCGACGGUGAGGGAUGAAAGCUGGGGGAGCAAACCGGAUUAGAUACCCGGGUAGUCCCAGCUGUAAACUAUGCAAACUCAGUGAUGCAUUGACUUGUGGUCAAUGCAGUGCUGCAGGGAAGCCGUUAAGUUUGCCGCCUGGGAAGUACGUACGCAAGUAUGAAACUUAAAGGAAUUGGCGGGGGAGCAC
Molecule: ribosomal RNA, 420 nt
Filed under: uncultured Nitrososphaerota archaeon
Lineage: Archaea; Thermoproteati; Nitrososphaerota
Description: bacterial SSU rRNA
Rfam family: Archaeal small subunit ribosomal RNA
Source: RNAcentral